Cinara cedri is the source of this 1240-nucleotide non-coding RNA. Lineage: Eukaryota; Metazoa; Arthropoda; Insecta; Hemiptera; Aphididae. The record is from the annotation of a GenBank genome assembly.
CUGUCAUAAGGUGAGGGUAAAUUUUAUUUUUAGUUUAGCCCAUGAAAAAAAAAACACACAUCGUGUUGUCUGGGGUACAUGAUGAGCCAAGGUCACUGAUUAUUGAGUUUGCAGAAUCUGCUAACCAUUGUCUUUCCUGCGCCCAGAUUCAUGAUUUUAUUAAUAAAUCGCAGAAUGUGCUUUUGUUAUAUCUUAUUCGACAGUGAAAACUUAAAAGCGUUGAAAACAACAAAAGCCAAAUAGCCAAUUUAUAUGCAAUAAAUCGGUUUUUUCCCCUUAUGAUUCGGCUGAAAUGUAUAACUCUAAGAUAAUAAAUGGGGGAGGGGCUGUAUAACCUUAGAUUUCCUCCCUACACACGCCACUGUCGUUCGUUCACCUGUGAUUGACUGUCGAACUGUCUCUAAAUCACGUUGUAUAUUUAAAUAUAAGUACGUUGCUACGUAUAUAUUUUUUUAUUUUUUUUAUCGGUUCAUAAAAAUACCGUGUGCUUAUAUUCUAUUGUGUAUCAACGAAAUAUUCACGAAUGCCGUAAGGAAAAAAAAAAACCAAACAAACGCCCAUAUACUAUUUUCAUUCAAAUAUUACGCUACACGUCGUCGUGGUUUACGUAAUUUUGAAAUUUAAUUUUGUUCGCGAUAACUGUGUUUAUAAUGGGUGUACACGUACGACGUGUAUAUUAUGCUAAUUAUUAUUAUUGUUUUGUCUCGAAUGUUCGAUAUAGCGAAGUGCGCAAAAAAAAAAAAAAAAAAAAAAAGUAUCGUUUCGACAACUGCGCGGCACGUCCAUUAUUAUUUCAAAGUAUACUAACAUUCGCGAUUUGCACAGGCUGCACAAUAUUCGGAAUAUUAAACACGCGCAUUAUAAACCGUAUUAUACAUUCAAUCGAUCGUUGUCUCGAAUGUUCGAUAUAGCGAAGUGCGCAAAAAAAAAAAAAAAAAAAAAAACCACGACGGAGUAUUUGUUUAUCGUUCCGGAGCGUAAACACAUUGGUUGUAUAGAUGAUGCGACCGUAAACACACGUAUACAGAAUUUUUCAAUCGAAUCGAUCACGCGAAUUACGCAACAGCGUAUUACAUCACGGGCGAAAAUGUUUAUGGUUAUCCGAAAUCCCGCGAGCAAGUACGCGAGCAGAAUUGUUUUCGCCGUUUAUGUAUAUAUCUAUUAUUAUACGCAACUACGAAGACAUCGCGUGAAAAUACACAAAAUCGUUUUUAACAAUAGAUACUUUUGGAAAAUAAAA